RNAcentral lists this small RNA (431 nucleotides) under Drosophila ananassae. Its description in RNAcentral is "GF26904". Lineage: Eukaryota; Metazoa; Arthropoda; Insecta; Diptera; Drosophilidae. The record is from RNAcentral.
AAAGUAGACUAGCAAUUAUCAGUCUGAGUCCUCACAGCUUGUCUUCCUUUUCCGAAUAUAUUUAUUCCUUGAACUAAACUAUGAUUUGUCACGUAUUGGAUUGGUCGGUGGACCUGCUUACCCACCUCGUACACUGGAUUAUUUGGCACUUGUGCAAGUUACUGGUAAUACAGGCUUUUGCCCUUCUGAUAGUACUUGCCUACAAGAUGGUUUGGCGCCGCGUGGUCGCCUCUUCUCCAGAGGAGUCCUACUGGAAUCCGGGACGUAAAGCCCCCAAAUCUAUGCCGGAACCGUCACCCGAAGUUGUAUCGGACAACAAAUGAAGAGGAGCACGGAGGCAAUCGGAGUCACACGCUGGAAACUUUCUAUUUUGAUAGAUUGUUGAAUUACAGUUGAUUCUUUAAAUAAACUUCAAUUCGAUUCCGACACAA